CAGGGAAUAUUAGUAAUGGGCGAAAGCCUGAACUAGCAACGCCGCGUGUGCGAAGAAGGCCUUCGGGUUGUAAAGCACUUUUUGAGAGGAUGAGGAAGGACGGCACUCUCAGAAUAAGUCUCGGCUAACUACGUGCCAGCAGCCGCGGUAACACGUAGGAGGCGAACGUUAUCCGGAUUUACUGGGCGUAAAGCGCGUGUAGGUGGUUUGGUAAGUAGGGCGUGAAAGCUCUGGCUCAACUGGGAGAGGCCGUUCUAAACUGCCGAACUAGAGGAUGGUAGAGGGAGGUGGAAUUCCGGGUGUAGCGGUGGAAUGCGCAGAUAUCCGGAGGAACACCAGUGGCGAAAGCGGCCUCCUGGACCAUUCCUGACACUCAGACGCGAAAGCUAGGGUAGCAAACGG
RNAcentral lists this ribosomal RNA (402 nucleotides) under uncultured bacterium. RNAcentral describes it as "bacterial SSU rRNA". It matches the Rfam family "Bacterial small subunit ribosomal RNA", at positions 355 to 775 of the family's 1533-position model. The record is from RNAcentral.